Molecule: ribosomal RNA, 301 nt
Filed under: uncultured bacterium
Lineage: Bacteria
Description: partial 16S ribosomal RNA
Rfam family: Bacterial small subunit ribosomal RNA
Source: RNAcentral
CAGUAGCCGCGGUAAUACGAAGGGGGCUAGCGUUGCUCGGAUUUACUGGGCGUAAAGGGCGCGUAGGCGGACAGUUAAGUCGGGGGUGAAAGCCCGGGGCUCAACCUCGGAAUUGCCUUCGAAACUGGCUGUCUUGAGUACGGGAGAGGUGAGUGGAACUCCGAGUGUAGAGGUGAAAUUCGUAGAUAUUCGGAAGAACACCAGUGGCGAAGGCGACUCACUGGCCCGUUACUGACGCUGAGGCGCGAAAGCGUGGGGAGCAAACAGGAUAAGAUACCCCUGUAGUCCCUGUCUCUUAUAC